This 129-nucleotide microRNA precursor is filed under the name Oryza rufipogon (brownbeard rice). RNAcentral's name for it is "MIR7504 microRNA precursor family". It matches the Rfam family "MIR7504 microRNA precursor family". Lineage: Eukaryota; Viridiplantae; Streptophyta; Magnoliopsida; Poales; Poaceae. The record is from Rfam by way of RNAcentral.
UUUUAAUAGAUGACGCCGUUGACUUUUUCUCACAUGUUUGACCAUUCGUCUUAUUCAAAAAAAUNAAAUUUUUGAAUAAGACGAAUGGUCAAACAUGUGAGAAAAAGUCAACGGCGUCAUCUAUUAAAA